AAAUUGAAGAGUUUGAUCAUGGCUCAGAUUGAACGCUGGCGGCAGGCCUAACACAUGCAAGUCGAACGGUAACAGGAAGAAGCUUGCUGAUU
Molecule: ribosomal RNA, 92 nt
Filed under: Escherichia coli
Lineage: Bacteria; Pseudomonadati; Pseudomonadota; Gammaproteobacteria; Enterobacterales; Enterobacteriaceae
Description: partial 16S ribosomal RNA
Rfam family: Bacterial small subunit ribosomal RNA
Source: RNAcentral